Molecule: ribosomal RNA, 465 nt
Filed under: uncultured bacterium
Lineage: Bacteria
Description: partial 16S ribosomal RNA
Rfam family: Bacterial small subunit ribosomal RNA
Source: RNAcentral
GACGAACGCUGGCGGCGUGCUUAACACAUGCAAGUCGAACGGGAAGGCCCCAGCUUGCUGGGGUACUCGAGUGGCGAACGGGUGAGUAACACGUGGGUGAUCUGCCCUGCACUCUGGGAUAAGCCUGGGAAACUGGGUCUAAUACCGGAUAGGACCGUGCUUUAGUGUGUGCGGUGGAAAGUUUUUCGGUGCAGGAUGAGCCCGCGGCCUAUCAGCUUGUUGGUGGGGUAAUGGCCUACCAAGGCGGCGACGGGUAGCCGGCCUGAGAGGGUGUACGGCCACAUUGGGACUGAGACACGGCCCAGACUCCUACGGGAGGCAGCAGUGGGGAAUAUUGCACAAUGGGCGCAAGCCUGAUGCAGCGACGCCGCGUGGGGGAUGACGGCCUUCGGGUUGUAAACCCCUUUCGGCAGGGACGAAGCUUUUGUGACGGUACCUGCAGAAGAAGCACCGGCUAACUACGUG